This 77-nucleotide ribosomal RNA is filed under the name Hematodinium sp. Its description in RNAcentral is "partial large subunit ribosomal RNA". The record is from RNAcentral. Lineage: Eukaryota; Dinophyceae; Syndiniales; Syndiniaceae.
AGGAAGCGUCUGUAAGGUAAUAACACAAGACACUGAUAACUUUGAUGAAGAGAUCUAGUCUUUGGCAUCUGCCCGGU